This 591-nucleotide unclassified non-coding RNA is filed under the name Hevea brasiliensis (rubber tree). Lineage: Eukaryota; Viridiplantae; Streptophyta; Magnoliopsida; Malpighiales; Euphorbiaceae. The record is from RNAcentral.
GUGUUUGAUGAGUCGUCGUGGACUGACAUCGAUUACUGCAAGUCUCGUCAGAAGUGGUAUCCAGUGUCAAAGACACUGGCAGAGAAAGAAGCGUGGGACUUUGCAAAGAAGCAUGGAAUGGAUCUGGUGACAACAUCCUGCUACAUGUCUAGGCCCACUGUUGCAGCCUAGUUUGAAUGCUAGCUGUGCUGUGUUGAAGCAAUUGUUGGAGGGAUCAGAAGACACUCAGGAAUAUCACUGGUUGGGAGCUGUGCAUGUCAAAGAUGUGGCUGAGUCACAAAUUUUGCUGUUUGAGACUCCUACUGCUUCUGGUAGAUAUCUCUGCACAAAUGGUAUUUAUCAAUUUGGUGAUUUUGCAGAGAGGGUUUCCAAGCUCUUCCCUGAGUUUCCUGUUCACAGGUUUGUUGGGGAAACUCAACCGGGCCUGACAACUUGCAAAGAUGCUGCCAAGAGAUUAAUUGAGAUGGGGCUAGUUUUCACUCCAGUUGAAGAUGCCAUCCAGGACACGGUGGAAAGUCUAAAGGCUAAAGGAUUCCUAAAGCACAAAAUGUCAACAUCAUAGUUUAUUUUGGGGCUGAAAUUUUUUUCACU